RNAcentral lists this ribosomal RNA (229 nucleotides) under uncultured bacterium. Its description in RNAcentral is "partial 16S ribosomal RNA". It matches the Rfam family "Bacterial small subunit ribosomal RNA", at positions 568 to 796 of the family's 1533-position model. The record is from RNAcentral.
CGUGUAGGCGGUUUAGUAAGUCAAGUGUGAAAUCCCUCGGCUUAACCGAGGAACUGCGCUUGAUACUGCUAAACUCGAGUACGGGAGAGGGUAGCGGAAUUCCCGGUGUAGAGGUGAAAUUCGUAGAUAUCGGGAGGAACACCAGUGGCGAAGGCGGCUACCUGGACCGAUACUGACGCUGAGACGCGAAAGCGUGGGGAGCAAACAGGAUUAGAUACCCUGGUAGUCC